Long non-coding RNA from Megalops cyprinoides (Indo-Pacific tarpon), 329 nucleotides. RefSeq lists it as uncharacterized. Lineage: Eukaryota; Metazoa; Chordata; Actinopteri; Elopiformes; Megalopidae. The transcript is spliced from 3 exons. The record is from RefSeq and is a predicted model, not a curated record.
UCGGAGACGUCAACAGGCCGCGCCCAAUUGGAGACUGCAGAGAUCUUCUCGGGAUCGGUGGAGACACCUGCGCUGGAGAUCACAUGCCCAAGGACAAUGGGGGAGGCGUAGGGGCUGCUGCUUUCCCUGAUGACCUGGCUAUCCAGCAGCUGCCGAAUAUGGGCCUUAACGGCCUCAUACUCUGAGGGAGGUAUACGUCGGUACCUCUGGCGGACUGGGGCUUCAUCUAGUAAAGGGAUCUCAUGGCAAAUAAGAUUCCCAUCCCGCACUAGGCCUAAGCUCUGGCCUCCCCCGGACUUCACACUGCCUGCCACAAAUGGAAGGAACAG